RNAcentral lists this long non-coding RNA (3714 nucleotides) under Citrus maxima (pomelo). Its description in RNAcentral is "long non-coding RNA (CMAX_LNC000733)". The record is from RNAcentral. Lineage: Eukaryota; Viridiplantae; Streptophyta; Magnoliopsida; Sapindales; Rutaceae.
CUUGUAUAUUUUACCAGAACUCUUGGUUAAGAAAAUCCUAGUCCAUGGAGUAUGAUAUAUCAAUCAUGCAACAAUGACCUACAACAUCUAUGUGGAUUGAUUUUUGCAAAAUAAAGAACAAUGCUGACUGAGGAAUAAGGUGCAUACCCGAUUAGCAAUAUCUCAGCAAGUAACCAACAAUUUUUUAUCUGAUAAGAAAAAAUUACAAUUUCUUGAAUAUACAUGAAACAUUUUGCAGAAAGAACCAUGUCAUAAUUAUUAGUCCAACUGAAGAAUUAUCAAUACUUAUCACAUGAAACGAAAGAUACCCGAGUUCACUUAAUGAAAUUCUCUUUUUUUUUUCUCUAACAUUGAGAUAAGCAAAAACUUUUAACUAAAGACAAUCAUCUAGUGAUCUCAAACAAAUGAGGUUAGUAUGAAACCAUCAUAAUUUGUUCGCUCAUUGCCUAAUUUUAUUAAUGCAAGAGCCUGGAAGCAACUCAAAAAGAAAAUAACCGACAUAGGAAGUGUCAUCUCAUAUCUCACCAAUGAAUGGGAACAGCUUGAUGUGGCUGAGCAAACUGGCAGAAUUGUCAUUUUAACACACGUUCAAGAAACUCAGCAAAUUCUCAUAUCUGUUUAAAUUCCACAGCAAAGAUAGUUACAAGAAAUCUAAUCAAAAUUUAAAAUGUCAGAAGGCAAAUCUUCCAAUUAGGAUCAAAAGAAGAUAAUUAUAAUUUGUCAUUUCAAUUCUGAAUGUACAAUUUUAUUUUUUUAUGUGUGCAUUAAUUAAGAUUCUACCUUCUCUGCAAAAUUGUGAUGGACUUGGUAAAUAAUGAAUUGUAUCGACUUGAAUUUUAUACAACUUAUUGAGAUAAUAAUACGCCAAAUUCAACACCGUCCAUCCCAAAUCACAACAAGAAACUCAAACUUUUAUCCCCUCAAGUGGGUUCUUGAAACUGAAGCUUUAGUGCCAGUACAAUUUUGAAAGAUUGUGAUCAAACUAAAACAUCAAAUAAAAUAAGACGUAACAAAAACACGUCUUCAGAAAAUUAGUAUAGGAAUAAGAUAAGCUACACAGACCUACUUCAAUGAAUUAGAAAAAUUAUGAUAAACUUGAUGCAUUUCGAAAAACAACAAACAAAUAUUCCCAGGAAAACAAAAAAAAGACAACUUUGUUUAAGCUUAGACAAAAAUAACUAAGGACAUAUGAAUGCAUCAUAAUAGUAUCUCUAUGGGUAAUUUUCAGAAAUCUCCCCUAAGGUAUGGUGUAUUCUUAGUUUGAUAGAAAAUAUCUAAGUAUUCUUAUAGACCUCCCCUACUGUUAGUAUUCCAUUUCGUAUAUGUUAGGUAGAUGAGGGUAAGAUCGUAAUUUGAAUAAGUUAAUGAUAAAAAAUCCAGAAAUUUUAAGAUUUUCACAUUGGCCUCUGGGCUUUAUUCAUCUCUUUCAUCCACCAAAACCAGAAAUACAACUCACCUCUCUCCUCCACCUAAAUCGAAGCAAGGUAGCUCAAAACUCAUUUCAAAAAAUUGAUCAAUUACUUGGGUCACAAACUAGAGACAAUGACGACGAAGUUGAUGACGCCAAUAUCGACGACGAAGCUGAUGACGCCAAUAUCGACGACGAAUGAUUCGCAACUGCCAGGUAAGAGAGUAUAGUAGGUUUCGCCAUCGAACGCCCAAUCAUCCAGUUGUUUUGGAGCCGCGUUAUUUUUAUUAGCUAAAAUUAGAAUUUUUAGUGAAAAAUUGAAAGUGGGUCUCAAAAUUUUUUGAGAGCGUAUAUGUUUCUCCUGAUUUUUCGAUCGAUUCGUGUUAGUUGCAGUUAAAUGAUUAAUCCAAUUCGUGUUGAAGAUAGAGCUAACUCGAAUAUCUCUAUAGUCCUGUAAUUGAUUGAAAAUGGGUCUUGAAAAUUGUUUUAGAUUUCAGCUGUGUGCUUCUGAUUUUUUCCAUGGAUUCAUGAUAGAUGAAAAUGGUUGAUGAAGAUUUGCUUGACAUGUAUAUAGAUGGUAUUUUGUUAAAGGGGUUUUAAUUUUUUCCUUUUUUGGUGGUUUCGAUUGUGGUAUUUACAUGCCUUAGGUUGAGAAAAACGAAAAUGGUUUGUUGCACUCUUUUGUGUUGGAUCAGUGAGUUUAGGCGAUUUGAAAUGGUUUGCGGCAUUCAAUUGAUUGUUUUAUUUAUGUGGUUUGAUAUGGGAAAAGUAUAAUAAAAUUCAAUUGUUCCAUAUGUCAAUUUGGAUGUUUUGAAAUUAUGAACUACAAAAAGUUAAAAUUAAUUUCUUAUUAUAUUUUCAAUUGAAAGUUACUAUUGUCUUCUUUUUAGUACUUAGUAUGCAUUUUUCCCCAUCUUCUAGUGGUGGUGUUGCACCCAUUUUGAAUUUGAUCGGCAUCUUCUUCUGUACAUGCAUGUUUCUUGGACUCCAAUUUUUGUUUCAUAUGAUGAAGCUAAUUUAAUUCCUCCUUUUUAAUAUCAACUUUGUUCAUCUAGGUUUGCGAUUUUGAUCUUUCUCAUUUGAAGGCAAACACAUUUAUGUCAUCAAAAUUUCCAAUAUUUUUUAUUUUAUAGUAUCCAAACUGCUUAUGGCAAUAUGAAAUUGAGAAUAUUUCUUUCAUCAUGUUAACCUAAGUGGAUGGUGGAUGAUGUUUGUGUAAGAGAUUUAAGUUAUUUGUAUUAUAGAAUAUGUCUUAUGUUUUGAUUUGCAAUUUCACCAUUAAAUUGGCUUUGUAAAUGAUUAGAAGCUAAAUGCAUAAAAUGAAAACAAUAGUAACAUUUCUGAGUGGGGUAUAAUCAGAUGCUAACAUGGCGAUCCAUGACUUGUAAUUUCUAUUGUCGUUAUAAUUGGACUAGAUCGAGGUAAACUGACUUUUCUUGUUCUGUUUUUUUUUUCAUUUCUUUGUUCUAGAUUUUUCUUUCUUUGUUUUACUUCUGGUUUCUUCUUCAGCAUAUUCAAUAACUAGCAUGAGCAAAUGGAGAGGAAAAGGGUAGAAUAUGCUUUUAAAAAAAAAGAAAAGAAAAAAAGAGAUAGCUCUAAUUCAAAAAUAAGGAGGAGAAAAGGGCAAUGAUUGAAGUUGUGGAGAAGAAAUUCUUAAUGCAUAGGAGAUGACAACAAAGUGUUGCAACUGGGAGCAGUUUUAAAGUGCUAUUCGAUUGCUUUUGUAAUCAAAUUGUCUUUUGUACCUAUUUAUACACACACAUAUUUGUAUUUGUAAUUUGAAUUUUACAUUUUCUCAAGACAACUAUGUUUAUUUUAAAAAAAAUCUAAAUGUAACUAAAAUAUUAAAGUUUUUGUACUUAUUACUCCAUUUGAUGAUUUUUUUUAUUUUUUUGCUGACGAAUAUUCCAUGUCAAUUUUUUUCCCUUCAGCUCGUUUAAGGUGUUUUAUUGUCUGAUGUGAUAUUUGGUGCUCGGGAGGAAGGGUGUUUUAAGUCUUUUUUGGUGUCAGGGGCAAUUUUGUCUUUACAUCAGUCAACAAAUAGUCAAUGGAUGGAAAUGCAAACAGCAGGGGAGGUGUCUGAUAAUACACGGAUACUUUCUAUCAAACUUAUAAUACACAAAAUCUCAGGGGAGGUUUUUGAAAAUUACCCAACUGUGCAAAAUUAUGAAAAAAAUGAGCUAAACAUAUAUAGCAUUUCAGAGGAGUGCUUACUUGACAAAUCACUAAUACAAAGCUGCGAAUGGGCAUUCGGAAUGUUUUGAGAGACUCGUAUGGAUAAAAUAUGUAGUUAUUUAAGUAAUGAC